GAUGAACGCUGGCGGCGUGCCUAAUACAUGCAAGUCGAGCGAACAGACGAGGAGCUUGCUCCUCUGACGUUAGCGGCGGACGGGUGAGUAACACGUGGAUAACCUACCUAUAAGACUGGGAUAACUUCGGGAAACCGGAGCUAAUACCGGAUAAUAUAUUGAACCGCAUGGUUCAAUAGUGAAAGACGGUUUUGCUGUCACUUAUAGAUGGAUCCGCGCCGCAUUAGCUAGUUGGUAAGGUAACGGCUUACCAAGGCAACGAUGCGUAGCCGACCUGAGAGGGUGAUCGGCCACACUGGAACUGAGACACGGUCCAGACUCCGACGGGAGGCAGAAGUAGGGAAUCUUCCGCAAUGGGCGAAAGCCUGACGGAGCAACGCCGCGUGAGUGAUGAAGGUCUUCGGAUCGUAAAACUCUGUUAUUAGGGAAGAACAAAUGUGUAAGUAACUAUGCACGUCUUGACGGUACCUAAUCAGAAAGCCACGGCUAACUACG
RNAcentral lists this ribosomal RNA (495 nucleotides) under uncultured bacterium. RNAcentral's name for it is "partial 16S ribosomal RNA". It matches the Rfam family "Bacterial small subunit ribosomal RNA", at positions 28 to 505 of the family's 1533-position model. The record is from RNAcentral.